RNAcentral lists this long non-coding RNA (2798 nucleotides) under Mus musculus (house mouse). Its description in RNAcentral is "long non-coding RNA chr1:139030184-139032982". The record is from RNAcentral. Lineage: Eukaryota; Metazoa; Chordata; Mammalia; Rodentia; Muridae.
ACCUUCAUCCCCAUUUAACCUUUUAACUCCCCUCCUUUGUUUCCCAUGUAUUUUACCAUCCCUCUAAUUAUUUUUUGGAUUGCAAUUUUAUCUUGUCCUUUUGUUUUCCCUUUAGCAUAAACUACCUCCUGUCCAUCAAGCCUUGUCAAUACCCCCUUUUUCUCUUUCUUCCUGUUUUUCUCUCCUCCACAUACUGUUGAGGUCUGAGCAUAUGAAGUUUGAGGUCAGUUGAGAGAGGUCAGAGUAGUAUAGGUGUAGACUGACAUACUUUCUCCAUCAACACGGUGCUAAUAACUAGUCUUACUCUGGUUUUAUUUUCCUUUUUGCCUCCCACCCAUUCAUAGUAACUAAUGUACAAUUGUAUGCUUCAGUGUUAUCAACAUUCCUUUACUUCAUAAACGCUUAGCCAUUAGGUGUGAUUAUUUUUUACAACAACUGUGUUUUCAUAGUGGUCUAUCCAUUGAUAGUAAUUGUUUCUAAGACAGUCGUCUCUCACAAUAAUGCUGGCAUCCCAAAGAGUGUAGCAGGAAAAAAUGAAGCCUCAAUGUCACUACAAUCUCGAUUAUUUUGAAUAUUGUGAAUAUUUCGUUAUAUAAGCAUGAUUAAAAUUGUAGUUAAAAUUGUAAAUACAUAGAAUGGAGAAAGUGCAGGGAGAAUUUCAAGUAAAGCCAUCAAAUGAAACGCCAGGUUCAACAGUAACAGCAGAUUUGGCAGCAGAAACUUAAAUGCACAAGGUCUUGGACUGAUGUAUUCCAGAUCUUUAAAGAAUCUCGUAACGGAGACUACCAGCCCCCCCCCCCCCAAAAAAAAAAAAAACCUGUCUGUUAUCCUUGAAGAAGAACUAAUUUUUCCUGAUAACAGACUAUGACUUCUAAGCUGUAUCUUCAAAUAUCUGAACUACAUGAAGCACUCACUCCUUAAACUGAAAAGAUAAACACCCUCAGAAGCUGGAGGAAUACUAAAGCAUGCAAGAAUAAGUAGUUGAGCUAAUGAGAAAAGGCAAUGGACGAAAUCUUAUAAAACCAACAGUAUGACAGGCAGUAAUAUAAAACUUUUAAUAAUUCUGAAUAUCAACAGCUUUGGUUUCCUAAUUGAAAGGCACAAACUAGGAGGUUGGUUGAGAACGCAGACUCCAUCCGUCUUUCUGUUGCCCCUGAGAAGUGUGGCUCACCAUCAAAGGCUGCCUUACGACAGAAAGGGGCAAUGCCUACAGUACAGUCAGUGCAGCCAGCAAGCACACAGGCAAGUGUGCUGCUCCUGAUAGACUCACUUCAAGCCAGAGCUCAGGGGACAUGAGACAGCUACUUCAUGCUUUUUUAGAGAGACAUUCAUCAAGAGGACGUUAGAAUUUUCUGUUUUAAAACUUACAUUAUUUGGGAACUUCAUUAUUUGAGUACUGUCUUUAAGUCAUUUCCCUCAUUCUUCUUUUUCUAACCCUUCUUCCAACUACCUCACAAAUUAUUUUUCUUUAUUGUUACAUAUGUUAAUAUAAAUCUAUAAAUAGAAUCUGCUGAUUCCUUUUAGUGUAUCAUAUAUUAUAUAUUAUAUAAUCAUUUAUGUUUUAGGAUUAACCAAUUGAUACUAAAUAACAAAUUAGAAAGUUCUUCUGAAGGGAAGAAUGGUUCUUCUCCUCUCAGAAAUUAUUUCCUGCCUGUAGCUCUACAUCUAGGCAUAGUAGGGUCUUGUGGGAGUUCUCCCAUCCACGUUGGCAUGCCCAACUAAUGUCUGGUGUUAUCCUUGUUCAGGAGUGGUUAGGCAGCCACUUUGCUGAGAUUUUUAUGGGUUCAACUUUCCUGUCAUAUAUAGGAAACACAAUCUUACAAUCAUUCUGUCCUCUGCUCUGUGUUGUUCCUUGAGCCUUAGGUGUAGGGAAUGUGGUAUAGAUGUACCACUUGGGACUGGCACCCUGAGCUGCUUGCUAUCUGUGUCUUGACUAGUUUUGGAUUUCUGUAAUAGUCUGAGAUUCUUCUCCUUCAUUUUGCCUUCUCUGUAAUUUGAAGAUUUGGACUUUUUAUGAUGUCUCACAAUUUCCACAUGUUCCUUUCCAAUGCUUAAAUUUUUCAUAUUUUUUACUUAUUGGUCAAAUUCCUCUACUUUAUUCCCAGGUCUUGAUGUUGUUUCUGCUAUUUGAUACACUCUACUUUAAGACUUUCCCCUGAGGUUUUAGCUGGGUUAUUGACUUUCUCAAUUCCAUCUUCAUUUCUGUUUAAGUUCUUAUCAGCAUUUCUAUUUCUACUGAAUUGAGGUUCCAGAUGCUGGUUUGUCUUUGUCAUCUUAUUCAGCCAUACAUUUGUGUUUUCUUGUUCAAUUUUUUAGUCUUCACAUACUCAGUGUUGGUUUUGGACUAGAGAAAUGGUGUGUACUUGAGCAAUCCUCACACACUCUGGCAUAGCUCAGGUAACACAGCUUGCACAUGAGGCCAAACAGAUCCAGCUGUUUGGACCAGAGCCAUGCUUUCUCUCUUAACACACACUGAAUUGGAAUCCCUCCUUUCCUCUACUCCAAAAUCAAUACUGAGUAUGGAAAGGAUUUACUGGUCAGUUCUCGAUACCCAGUCUGAAAUCAAAAGAAAAGUGAACAAGACAAGGGUGGAGUUUAUUUUCAUUCUUUAUGCAACAUAGUACUCAAACUCUUAGCAAGAGUAAGGACAGAAGAGAAGGAAAUAAAAAUGAGAUAAGUAUGAAAGGAAGAAGUCAAAGUCUCCUUAUUUGGAAGAGGUUAGCUUCUACAUAAGAGAGCAAAAGGCUCCACCAGUAAAUUCUUAGAUCUGAUGAACAAUGCCAGCAAAAUGGAAAGAC